This 371-nucleotide transfer-messenger RNA is filed under the name Sphingobacteriales bacterium. It matches the Rfam family "transfer-messenger RNA". From Rfam's summary of the family: Bacterial tmRNA, also known as 10Sa RNA or SsrA, is named for its dual tRNA and mRNA-like properties. Its role is to liberate the mRNA from a stalled ribosome. Lineage: Bacteria; Pseudomonadati; Bacteroidota; Sphingobacteriia; Sphingobacteriales. The record is from RNAcentral.
GGGGUUGACAGGAAUUGACGGCAGGAUAGUGGAUAAGUAAGCAUGCCGAGCAUUGUGCGAUUUGGCUCGUUAAAUUUAAUGCACGAAAUCUUUUUAUAUGGCGAGAAUACUUUCGCAAUGGCUGCUUAAUACAGGUUAUUAAGCCCGGCCUUUGUACUCCGGAAUAGUUUUUCCAAUACUAUCCGACAGUGCAUAACCGAAUUGGAAUAGUGCUGCAGUUGUUUCGCCUGCAAUAUGAAAUUCAGAAAAUAAGAUGGCAAUCGGUACGCAAUAACGCCUGUUGCCGUUCGAAAAUCAAGUUACUGCUAAGCAUGUAGAAAGCGUAUAAACGUUUUGUCCGGACGCGAGUUCAAAUCUCGCCAGCUCCACCA